CCUACGGGCGGCAGCAGUGGGGGAUAUUGCACAAUGGGGGGAACCCUGAUGCAGCGACGCCGCGUGUGGGAAGACGGUCCUCUGGAUUGUAAGCCACGGUCCCCAGGGACGAAAAGGACGGUACCUGGGGAGGAAGCUCCAGCUAACUACGGGCCAGCAGCCGCGGUAAUACGUAGGGAGCGAGCGUUGUCGGGAAUUACGGGGUGUAAGGGGAGCGUAGGCGGGGAUGAAAGUUGGGUGUAAAAACUACCGGCUCAACUGGUAGUCGCACUCAAAACUGCAGGUCUUGAGUGAAGUAGAGGCAGGCGGAAUUCCUGGUGUAGCGGUGAAAUGCGUAGAUAUGAGGAGGAACACCAGUGGCGAAGGCGGCCUGCUGGGCUUUUACUGACGCUGAGGCUCGAAAGUGUGGGGAGCAAACAGGAUUAGAUACCCUUGUAGUC
This 440-nucleotide ribosomal RNA is filed under the name uncultured bacterium. RNAcentral describes it as "partial 16S ribosomal RNA". It matches the Rfam family "Bacterial small subunit ribosomal RNA", at positions 338 to 795 of the family's 1533-position model. The record is from RNAcentral.